This 3606-nucleotide small RNA is filed under the name Plasmodium gaboni. Lineage: Eukaryota; Apicomplexa; Aconoidasida; Haemosporida; Plasmodiidae. The record is from RNAcentral.
AUUAUUAUAUUAUUAUUAUUUUAUUUUUUUGUUCUUUAUAUUACAACUCGUUACGCGUUGUAAAUUUGUAACUUUAAUGUAACACAUAUAUAGAUCAAAAUUUUUAAAGAAAAAAAAAAAAUACAAAGUAAUGCACAUACAUCUAAUAUAUAUAUAUAUAUACAGUCAAUUAUAAAAAAGCGAUAUUUAAUAAGCAUAUCUCAUAUACAUAUAAUAUAUAUAUAUAUUCAUAUGUAAUAUUAUUUGUAUAUACAGAUAAAAAGCUUUAUCUUAAAAAAAAUUUGUAUUUAUACAUAUAUAUAUAUAUAUAUUUAUUUAUUUUUGUAUAUUUAUGUACUUAUUUAUUUUGCAUAAAACGAAUUAUAUCUUAAUCUAUAUAAACUUAUAUGUAACUAUUUGUUCUUAAUAAUAUGUAAAAUAUAAGUCGGUUUCUUUACAACAAUUUUAUAACAUGACUUAUUAAUAAUUUAUGUAUAAUAAUUAAUCACAUAUAUUUAAAUAUAUUAUAAUUAUAUAGAUGAAAUCUUCUUUUUUCUUUAAAUAUAAUAAAAUAUAUAUAUAUAUAUAUAUAAUAUACAUAGAAUAGUGCUAUUUUAUUUAAUAUUUUUUGUAUUUUAUAUGUAUAAUUCUAGAAUAUAUUUAGAGUAUGAAAAGAAAAAUAAAUUAAUUUCACAAGGCUAUAAAUAUAUAUUCAUAAGUAAUAAUAUUACACUAAUAUAUAAAUAAUAUUAAUAUAUUUAAUAUCAACAUAAUCCGUAUUUGUAUCCUUUUUAUAAUGUAGAUUAAAAUAUUACACUCUCUUAUUAAUAUGUAAAUAUGUGCAAAAAAAAAAAAAUUAUAAUUUAAUAAAAUAUAUAUCUAUUUCAGUUUGUAUUUACAUAUAUUAAGCUGUCAUAAAAAUAUAAUAUAAAAAUACAUUCAUAAUUUUUUUAAUAUAUAUUUUUUUAAUUUAUUGAUGCAUAUUAUAAUUAGAUGACAGAUAUGUAAAUAUUAAAAAAUACGUUCAUUUCAAAAGUGAAAAGAAAAUAUGCAUUUUAUGUAAUAUGUAUUUUAUAAAUAUUUAUUUAUUUUUAUGUUUUAUAUAAAAUGUAUCUAUUAUAUUAGAGCAUAUAAGAUUAAUAACAUGAGCAUAAAUAUACUAUAAAUACAUAAUAAAAUAAAUGUAUGUAUAUUUUCAUUUUCUCUGUAUAUAUUAUAUAAUGAUCGGGGUAAUAAAGUAUAAGACAAAAAAAUAUAUUAUCAUAUUUAUAUAUAUUUAAUAAAAAUAUUUUCUAUAUAUAAAAAGUAUUUUUCAAAAUAUUAUAUAUAUAUAUAUAUAUAUAUAUAUAUAUUUAUGUUUCUUUUCUUUUUUGUAAUAUUAUAUUACUAUAUUACUAUACGUAUACUGUAAUAAAAUAUAUAUAUAUAUAUAUAUAUAUAUAUAUAUAUAUAUUAUUUAUUAAUUUAAAAAGAGAUAUAUUUUUCAGUUUAUAUAUAAAAAAAACACAAAUUAUAAAAUUAUUAUAUAUAACAAGUGUGUAAAAAUGUAAAAAUAUAAAUAUAUAAAAAUAUUUCAUUCCACAAUUUUUUCUUAUUUUAAAUUUAAAUAGUAAAAAAAAAAGAAAGAAGACAAUAUCCAAUUUUAUACAUUAAAAUAGUUCUACACAUAUAUGUAAAAAAAAAUAAAAAUAGGCAAUAUCACGGUUCAAAAUACAUAGAAAAAAAAAAAAAUAAUAAAUAAAUAAAUAAUAUUAUAUUAUAUAACAAAGAAAAAUCACGAGGACAGAAUAUUAUUUAUAAAUAAAUAAUAUUAUAAAUAUAUUUAUAUAUGUAUAUGCAUUCAUUUAAAUAUUCAUUAAAUAUAUAAAAUUUUAAAGACAAUAUAAGGUACGUCACAUAUUUCUAUCUUGCACUAUAUAAAUAUGAAGUUAUAUAUUAAUAUUUAUAAGUAUAUAAUAAUAUAUAUAUUAUUAUUGAUAGGUAAAUAAAUAUAAAUAUAUAUAUGCAUAACUUUGAACAUAUGUAUAUAUAUAUAUAUAUAUAUAUAUAUAUAUAUAUAUAUAUGUAAACAAGACACUGAAUUAUAAUAAUUAUAUAUAUAUAUAUUAUAUGCAUUUAUACAUUUGUGUAUAUCUAAAUUUUACUACUUAUUUAUACAUAUAUAUAUAAAUUCAUUUAAAUUACUAGCUUUUUUUUUUUUUUCUUCAAUCUUUAUAAUUUGAAUAAAAUAUUUAUAAAAUAUUUAUAUACCUUAAAAAAAGGAAAUAAAUAAGCAAAAAAAAAAAAAAAAAAAAAGCACAAAAUAUUAUAUUUCUUAUAUAUAUAUAUAUAUAUAUAUAUGUAUGUAUAUUUUUGUUUUUUUGCGUAUAUUUCUUUUUAUAUAUUUAGUUAAGGCAAAUUCGUUUGUAUUCUUAUGCAUCAUAUAAAUAUUUUAUAAUUUAUAUUUGAAAAACAAAAAAAAAAAAAAAGAAAUCCAUAAAUAUAUGUAAAAAUAUAUAUAUAUAUAUAUAUAAUGUGAAUAUUUCGCAAUAUUUCAAAGUACAGAUACAGGUAUACACAGUUGUCAAUAGCAAAAAAAAUUAAAAAAUUAAAUUGUAUAUGACUUUUUAAUUACAUAAAUUAAUUUACUUUUAUAUUGAUAAAAUAUAUGUGUAUUAUUAUAUAGGAAAAAAAAAAAAAAAAAAAAAAAAAAAAAAAAAAAAAAAUCGUAAUUAAGACAUAUAUAUAUAUAUAUAUAUUUGGAAUAUAAACAACAAGGUAAAUAUUUGAUACCAUUUAAAAGUAGUAUAUGUAGAAUUUUUUAAAAAAUAAAAAAAAAUUAAUAAAAAAUAUUAUAUGUAAUAUGCAACUAUUGUAUUAUUAUAUAUAUGAUACAUACGUGUGAAUAUAUAUAUAUAUAUGAGACAAAUAUAAAAUUACAUAAAUAUAUAUAUAUAUAUAUAUAUAUAAUAAAGCUAAUAAAUGUUCACUUUUUUUUUUUUUCAUUAAUAUAUAAUAUAAAUAUAUAUACGAAUAGAAUAUUCUUACACUCUAUAAAAUUAUAAAAUGUAUUUAAAAAAAUCUCUUGAUGAAUAUUUAUUUUUGUGUGUUUAUAUAUAGAUUAACACUUGUUAUGCAUAUAUAGUAUAGAACAUAUUAUAUAGGUCAUAUACAUUUCAUAAAGAAUAUCAAAAAUAUCAUUUGAAAAAACUUAUUAAAAAAUUAUACUUGUUCUAUAAUGAAAAUUAUAAAGUACUACGAAUAAUUUUAUUAAUGUAGAAAGGUUAGUAUAGUAUAUUAUGUAUAAAAUGUUUUUAUAUAUAUAUUAUUUUGUUAUAUAAAAUAAGUUUUUAAUAUUUUUCUAUAAAAUAUAAUUAUAUUUUUUCCAUUAUAACUCAAAGUUUUAUAAAAAUAAAUAUAUAAUAAUUAUAUAUUUUAUGUUUUAUAAUACAGGUAUUUUUUUUUUUUUUAACUUAUAAAGUGUAAAUAUUAUUAUUUCAUAAACACAUUAUUCUAAUUGUAACCACAUAUUGUAUAUAAUAUUAUGAAUUUUUUAAAUAAAGAUAAUAUGUAUAUAUAUACAUAUAUAGUUAUUAUAUAUUUGUAAAAAUAAAAUAAUUAAAAAAUAUUUACAUUUUAUUUCUUAAU